ACAAGCGGUGGAGCGAUGUGGUUUAAUUCGAAGCAACGCGAAGAACCUUUACCAGGUCUUGACAUCCGAUGCUAUUUCUAGAGAUAGAAAGUUACUUGGUACAUCGGUGACAGGUGGUGCAUGGUUGUCGUCAGCUCGUGUCGUGAGAUGUUGGGUUAAGUCCCGCAACGAGCGCAACCCCUAUUGUUAGUUGCCAUCAUUCAGUUGGGCACUCUAGCGAGACUGCCGGUAAUAAACCGGAGGAAGUGGGGAUGACGUCAAAUCAUCAUGCCCCUUAUGACCUGGGCUACACACGUGCUACAAUGGUUGGUACAACGAGUUGCGAGUCGGUGACGGCGAGCUAAUCUCUUAAAGCCAAUCUCAGUUCGGAUUGUAGGCUGCAACUCGCCUACAUGAAGUCGGAAUCGCUAGUAAUCGCGGAUCAGCACGCCGCGGUGAAUACGUUCCCGGGCCUU
RNAcentral lists this ribosomal RNA (455 nucleotides) under uncultured Streptococcus sp. Its description in RNAcentral is "bacterial SSU rRNA". It matches the Rfam family "Bacterial small subunit ribosomal RNA", at positions 925 to 1382 of the family's 1533-position model. The record is from RNAcentral. Lineage: Bacteria; Bacillati; Bacillota; Bacilli; Lactobacillales; Streptococcaceae.